Molecule: ribosomal RNA, 265 nt
Filed under: uncultured prokaryote
Description: partial 16S ribosomal RNA
Rfam family: Bacterial small subunit ribosomal RNA
Source: RNAcentral
UACGGAGGAUCCGAGCGUUAUCCGGAUUUAUUGGGUUUAAAGGGUGCGCAGGCGGGAGAUUAAGUCGGCGGUGAAAUUUUGCAGCUCAACUGUAAAAGUGCCUUCGAAACUGGUUUCCUUGAGUGUGGAUGAAGUAGGCGGAAUUUGUGGUGUAGCGGUGAAAUGCAUAGAUAUCACGAGGAACUCCGAUUGCGCAGGCAGCUUACUAAACCAUAACUGACGCUCAGGCACGAAGGCGUGGGGAUCAAACAGGAUUAGAUACCCU